CUAAUAUAUUAGGAUGUGGUUGGU
RNAcentral lists this non-coding RNA (24 nucleotides) under Arabidopsis thaliana (thale cress). The record is from RNAcentral. Lineage: Eukaryota; Viridiplantae; Streptophyta; Magnoliopsida; Brassicales; Brassicaceae.